GAUGAAGAACGCAGUGAAAUGCGAUAAUUAAUGUGAAUUGCAGAAUUCAGUGAAUCAUCGAGUCUUUGAACGCACAUUGCGCCCCCUGGUAUUCCGGGGGGCAUGCCUGUCCGAGCGUCAUUGCUGCCCUCAAGCACGGCUUGUGUGUUGGGCUUCCGUCCCUGGCAACGGGGACGGGCCCAAAAGGCAGUGGCGGCACCAUGUCUGGUCCUCGAGCGUAUGGGGCUUUGUCACCCGCUCCCGUAGGUCCAGCUGGCAGCUAGCCUCGCAACCAAUCUUUUUAACCAGGUUGACCUCGGAUCAGGUAGGGAUACCCGCUGAACUUAAGCAUAUCAAUAAGGGAGGA
RNAcentral lists this unclassified non-coding RNA (346 nucleotides) under soil metagenome. Its description in RNAcentral is "partial contains 5.8S ribosomal RNA, internal transcribed spacer 2, and large subunit ribosomal RNA". The stretch from base 1 to 120 matches the Rfam family "5.8S ribosomal RNA", at positions 35 to 154 of the family's 154-position model. The record is from RNAcentral.